This 433-nucleotide ribosomal RNA is filed under the name uncultured bacterium. RNAcentral's name for it is "partial 16S ribosomal RNA". It matches the Rfam family "Bacterial small subunit ribosomal RNA", at positions 29 to 507 of the family's 1533-position model. The record is from RNAcentral.
AACGAACGCUGGCGGCAUGCCUAACACAUGCAAGUCGAACGAGACCUUCGGGUCUAGUGGCGCACGGGUGCGUAACGCGUGGGAACCUGCCCUUAGGUUCGGAAUAACUCCCCGAAAGGGGUGCUAAUACCGGAUAAUGUCUUCGGACCAAAGAUUUAUCGCCUUUGGAUGGGCCCGCGUUGGAUUAGCUAGUUGGUAGGGUAAAAGCCUACCAAGGCGACGAUCCAUAGCUGGUCUGAGAGGAUGAUCAGCCACACUGGGGCUGAGACCCGGCCCAGAACCGUAGGGAGGGGAGCAGUAGAGAAUAUUGGGCAAUGGGCGAAAGCCUGAUACAGCAAUGUCGCGGGAGUGAUGAAGGCCUUAGGGUUGUAAAGCUCUUUUACACGGGAUGAUAAUGACAGUACCGGGAGAAUAAGCUCCGGCUAACUCCGUG